AUUGAACGCUGGCGGCAGGCUUAACACAUGCAAGUCGAGCGGUAACAGAGAGAAGCUUGCUUCUCUGCUGACGAGCGGCGGACGGGUGAGUAAUGCCUAGGAAUCUGCCUAGUAGUGGGGGAUAACUUGCCGAAAGGUAAGCUAAUACCGCAUACGUCCUACGGGAGAAAGGAGGGGACCUUCGGACCUUUCGCUAUUAGAUGAGCCUAGGUCGGAUUAGUUAGUUGGUGAGGUAAUGGCUCACCAAGACCGCGAUCCGUAACUGGUCUGAGAGGAUGAUCAGUCACACUGGAACUGAGACACGGUCCAGACUCCUACGGGAGGCAGCAGUGGGGAAUAUUGGACAAUGGGGGGAACCCUGAUCCAGCCAUGCCGCGUGUGUGAAGAAGGUCUAGGAUUGUAAAGCACUUUAAGUUGGGAGGAAGAGCAGUUAACUAAUAUUUGACUGUUUUGACGUUACCGACAGAAUAAGCACCGGCUAACUUCGUGCCAGCGGCCGCCGUAA
Molecule: ribosomal RNA, 505 nt
Filed under: uncultured bacterium
Lineage: Bacteria
Description: partial 16S ribosomal RNA
Rfam family: Bacterial small subunit ribosomal RNA
Source: RNAcentral